RNAcentral lists this ribosomal RNA (253 nucleotides) under uncultured microorganism. RNAcentral describes it as "partial 16S ribosomal RNA". It matches the Rfam family "Bacterial small subunit ribosomal RNA", at positions 524 to 776 of the family's 1533-position model. The record is from RNAcentral.
UACGGAGGAUGCGAGCGUUAUCCGGAUUUACUGGGUUUAAAGGGUGCGCAGGCGGUUGUUUAAGUCAGGGGUGAAAGCCCUAUGCUCAACAUAGGAAUUGCGCUUGUGACUGGCGGGCUCGAGUACGGUAGAGGGGGGUGGAAUUCCUGGUGUAGCAGUGAAAUGCGUAGAGAUCAGGAGGAACACCGAUGGCGAAGGCAGCCCCCUGGGCCUGUACUGACGCUCAUGCACGAAAGCGUGGGGAGCAAACAGG